This 1610-nucleotide ribosomal RNA is filed under the name Pygoscelis papua (Gentoo penguin). RNAcentral's name for it is "16S ribosomal RNA". It matches the Rfam family "Bacterial large subunit ribosomal RNA". The record is from RNAcentral. Lineage: Eukaryota; Metazoa; Chordata; Aves; Sphenisciformes; Spheniscidae.
AGCCAAACUCUAGCCCAACCACGCGCAGCCAAGUAAUUAAAAAUCUACUUCACCAUACGAAUUAAACUAAAACAUUCUUCUGCCCCAGUAUGGGCGACAGAAAAGGCACUACUGGCGCUAUAGAGAUCUGUACCGUAAGGGAAAGAUGAAAUAGUAAUGAAAACCCGAGCAAAAAACAGCAAAGAUAAACCCUUGUACCUCUUGCAUCAUGAUUUAGCAAGAACAACCAAGCAAAACGAGUUUAAGCUUGCCACCCCGAAACCCGAGCGAGCUACUCACAAGCAGCUACCCCCUGAGCGAACCCGUCUCUGUUGCAAAAGAGUGGGAUGACUUGUUAGUAGAGGUGAAAAGCCUACCGAGCCGGGUGAUAGCUGGUUGCCCGUGAAAUGAAUCUAAGUUCUCUCUUAAUUUUCUCUUUUUUCCCCCCCGGACAUCCAACCGCAACCACCAUGUGACAAAUCAAGAGCAAUUUAAAGGAGGUACAGCUCCUUUAAAAAAGAAUACAAUCUCCCCUAGCGGAUAACUGCCCAACUGACCCUAAACUGUGGGCCCUCAAGCAGCCAUCAACAAAGAAUGCGUCAAAGCUCUACCCCAAAAAAAUCCAAAAACAACAGGACUCCCUUAUCUAUAACGGGCCAACCUAUAAUAAUAGGAGAAUCAAUGCUAAAAUGAGUAAUCGGGGGCCACCCUCUCGAGCGCAAACUUACAUCACCACAUUGUUAACAAGCCCUAAACUAAUAUCCCACCCUCAAACAAGCUAAGUAUUAAACUUACCCUGUUAGUCCAACUCAGGAGCGCCCAAUUAGAAAGAUUCAAAUCUGCAAAAGGAACUAGGCAACCCUAAGGCCCGACUGUUUACCAAAAACAUAGCCUUCAGCCAACCAAGUAUUGAAGGUGAUGCCUGCCCAGUGACACUCCGUUCAACGGCCGCGGUAUCCUAACCGUGCGAAGGUAGCGCAAUCAAUUGUCCCAUAAAUCGAGACUUGUAUGAAUGGCUAAACGAGGUCUUAACUGUCUCUUGCAGACAAUCAAUGAAAUUGAUCUUCCUGUGCAAAAGCAGGAAUAAACCCAUAAGACGAGAAGACCCUGUGGAACUUAAAAAUCAGCGGCCACCACACACAACCCAAAACCUACCAGGCCUACGACCCCAAGUAAAACACUGGCCCGCAUUUUUCGGUUGGGGCGACCUUGGAGAAAAGUAAAUCCUCCAAAAACAAGACCACACACCUUGACCAAGAGCAACCCCUCAACGUACUAACAGUAACCAGACCCAAUAUAAUUGACCAAUGGACCAAGCUACCCCAGGGAUAACAGCGCAAUCCCCUCCAAGAGCCCAUAUCGACAAGGGGGUUUACGACCUCGAUGUUGGAUCAGGACACCCUAAUGGUGCAGCCGCUAUUAAGGGUUCGUUUGUUCAACGAUUAACAGUCCUACGUGAUCUGAGUUCAGACCGGAGCAAUCCAGGUCGGUUUCUAUCUAUGCCGGGCUUUUCCUAGUACGAAAGGACCGGAAAAGCAAGGCCCAUACUAUAGGCAUGCCUUCCCUCUAAGUAGUGAACCCAACUAAACUACCAAACAGGACACACCAUUUCACCAUCCUAGAAAAGGAUC